UACGGAGGAUGCGAGCGUUAUCCGGAUUUAUUGGGUUUAAAGGGUGCGUAGGCGGCCUGCCAAGUCAGCGGUAAAAUUGCGGGGCUCAACCCCGUACAGCCGUUGAAACUGCCGGGCUCGAGUGGGCGAGAAGUAUGCGGAAUGCGUGGUGUAGCGGUGAAAUGCAUAGAUAUCACGCAGGACCCCGAUUGCGAAGGCAGCAUACCGGCGCCCUACUGACGCUGAGGCACGAAAGUGCGGGGAUCAAACAGG
Molecule: ribosomal RNA, 252 nt
Filed under: uncultured bacterium
Lineage: Bacteria
Description: partial 16S ribosomal RNA
Rfam family: Bacterial small subunit ribosomal RNA
Source: RNAcentral